GAUGAACGCUGGCGGCGUGCCUAAUACAUGCAAGUCGAGCGAACGGACGAGAAGCUUGCUCCUCUGAUGUUAGCGGCGGACGGGUGAGUAACACGUGGAUAACCUACCUAUAAGACUGGGAUAACUUCGGGAAACCGGAGCUAAUACCGGAUAAUAUUUUGAACCGCAUGGUUCAAAAGUGAAAGACGGUCUUGCUGUCACUUAUAGAUGGAUCCGCGCUGCAUUAGCUAGUUGGUAAGGUAACGGCUUACCAAGGCAACGAUGCAUAGCCGACCUGAGAGGGUGAUCGGCCACACUGGAACUGAGACACGGUCCAGACUCCUACGGGAGGCAGCAGUAGGGAAUCUUCCGCAAUGGGCGAAAGCCUGACGGAGCAACGCCGCGUGAGUGAUGAAGGUCUUCGGAUCGUAAAACGCUGUUAUUAGGGAAGAACAUAUGUGUAAGUAACUGUGCACAUCUUGACGGUACCUAAUCAGAAAGCCACGGCUAACUACGU
Molecule: ribosomal RNA, 496 nt
Filed under: uncultured bacterium
Lineage: Bacteria
Description: partial 16S ribosomal RNA
Rfam family: Bacterial small subunit ribosomal RNA
Source: RNAcentral